CCUACGGGAGGCAGCAGUGGGGAAUCUUGCGCAAUGGGCGAAAGCCUGACGCAGCCAUGCCGCGUGAAUGAUGAAGGUCUUAGGAUUGUAAAAUUCUUUCACCGAGGACGAUAAUGACGGUACUCGGAGAAGAAGCCCCGGCUAACUUCGUGCCAGCAGCCGCGGUAAUACGAAGGGGGCUAGCGUUGCUCGGAAUUACUGGGCGUAAAGGGAGCGUAGGCGGAUAGUUUAGUCAGAGGUGAAAGCCCAGGGCUCAACCUUGGAAUUGCCUUUGAUACUGGCUAUCUUGAGUACGGAAGAGGUAUGUGGAACUCCGAGUGUAGAGGUGAAAUUCGUAGAUAUUCGGAAGAACACCAGUGGCGAAGGCGACAUACUGGUCCGUUACUGACGCUGAGGCUCGAAAGCGUGGGGAGCAAACAGGAUUAGAUACCCUGGUAGUCCACGCUGUAAACGAUGAGUGCUAGUUGUCGGCAUGCAUGCAUGUCGGUGACGCAGCUACGCAUUAAGUACACUCCGCCGUCGGGUAGGUACGGUCGCGAGAUUAAACGUACGAAGAAGUAGUAGCGUGAGAGAGCGACGACGACGACGACGGGAGGAGG
This 599-nucleotide ribosomal RNA is filed under the name uncultured bacterium. RNAcentral's name for it is "bacterial SSU rRNA". The stretch from base 1 to 518 matches the Rfam family "Bacterial small subunit ribosomal RNA", at positions 338 to 873 of the family's 1533-position model. The record is from RNAcentral.